Molecule: long non-coding RNA, 290 nt
Filed under: Gallus gallus (chicken)
Lineage: Eukaryota; Metazoa; Chordata; Aves; Galliformes; Phasianidae
Source: RNAcentral
UUCCACUGGUGUUAAACCCCUGGUCUAGUGCCUUAACUGGGCAGUGCAUUUCAUGUGUAAUAGCCGUGUUGUAUACUUUGGGUGAGUAUUAAAAACGGUUUCAAAUUGUGUGUAGAAUUCCAUAUGUUGUCUGGAAUCGUGUUCUGCUUUUCAUGCAGAAACAGAACAGAAGAAACAGCAUGUAUUUAUUAAAGUCAUAUAUCUUUAGAUAGCUUAACCUCUGCUUUAUAAAUUGUAUUUAGCAUCAGUAUCAUAUUCUGUCUUAAUCUACUAUUGCAUUUUAAACCCUG